CGUAGACUCCUACGGGAGGCAGCAGUGGGGAAUAUUGCACAAUGGGCGCAAGCCUGAUGCAGCCAUGCCGCGUGUGUGAAGAAGGCCUUCGGGUUGUAAAGCACUUUCAGUCGUGAGGAAGGUAGUGUAGUUAAUAGCUGCAUUAUUUGACGUUAGCGACAGAAGAAGCACCGGCUAACUCCGUGCCAGCAGCCGCGGUAAUACGGAGGGUGCGAGCGUUAUCCGGAUUUAUUGGGUUUAAAGGGUCCGUAGGCGGAUUAAUAAGUCAGUGGUGAAAUCCCAUCGCUUAACGAUGGAACUGCCAUUGAUACUGUUAGUCUUGAAUGAGGGUGCAGUGGUUGGAAUGUGUAGUGUAGCGGUGAAAUGCAUAGAUAUUACACAGAACACCGAUUGCGAAGGCAGAUCACUAACCCUAAAUUGACGCUGAGGGACGAAAGCGUGGGGAGCGAACAGGAUUAGAUACCCUGGUAG
Molecule: ribosomal RNA, 471 nt
Filed under: uncultured bacterium
Lineage: Bacteria
Description: bacterial SSU rRNA
Rfam family: Bacterial small subunit ribosomal RNA
Source: RNAcentral